RNAcentral lists this non-coding RNA (81 nucleotides) under fish gut metagenome. Its description in RNAcentral is "Glycine riboswitch". It matches the Rfam family "Glycine riboswitch aptamer", at positions 8 to 87 of the family's 94-position model. From Rfam's summary of the family: This family represents the bacterial glycine riboswitch. Glycine riboswitches usually consist of two metabolite-binding aptamers domains with similar structures in tandem. The record is from RNAcentral.
ACAUCAUGCAGGAGAGAGCGGUUUUAUGCCGCCGCCGAAGGCGCAAGCGCACCCGCAAUCGCUCAGGCAAAAGGACUGCAU